UACCAGAGGAAUAAGCACCGGCUAACUCCGUGCCAGCAGCCGCGGUAAUACGGAGGGUGCAAGCGUUAUCCGGAUUCACUGGGUUUAAGGGUGUGUAGGCGGGUAUUUAAGUCAGUGGUGAAAUCUCCGAGCUCAACUCGGAAACUGCCAUUGAUACUAUUUAUCUUGAAUAUUGUUGAGGUAGGCGGAAUAUGUCAUGUAGCGGGGAAAUGCUUAGAUAUGACAUAAAACACCAAUUGCGAAUGCAGAUUGCUAAACAAUUAUUGACGCUGAUGCACAAAAGCUUGUUUCAUCAAAUAGGAU
RNAcentral lists this ribosomal RNA (303 nucleotides) under uncultured Flexibacter sp. RNAcentral describes it as "bacterial SSU rRNA". It matches the Rfam family "Bacterial small subunit ribosomal RNA", at positions 476 to 778 of the family's 1533-position model. Lineage: Bacteria; Pseudomonadati; Bacteroidota; Cytophagia; Cytophagales; Flexibacteraceae. The record is from RNAcentral.